This 194-nucleotide small nuclear RNA is filed under the name Lepeophtheirus salmonis (salmon louse). RNAcentral's name for it is "U2 spliceosomal RNA". It matches the Rfam family "U2 spliceosomal RNA". From Rfam's summary of the family: U2 is a small nuclear RNA (snRNA) component of the spliceosome (involved in pre-mRNA splicing). Complementary binding between U2 snRNA (in an area lying towards the 5' end but 3' to hairpin I) and the branchpoint sequence (BPS) of the intron results the bulging out of an unpaired adenosine, on the BPS, which initiates a nucleophilic attack at the intronic 5' splice site, thus starting the first of two transesterification reactions that mediate splicing. Lineage: Eukaryota; Metazoa; Arthropoda; Copepoda; Siphonostomatoida; Caligidae. The record is from RNAcentral.
AUCGCUUCUCGGCCUUUUGGCUAAGAUCAAAGUGUAGUAUCUGUUCUUAUCAGCUUAAUAUCUGAUACAAGGACCAUGUGUCCUUCUCGAUAUUAAACUUAUUUCUGAGCGGGGAGGGAGACUCACAUGCUUGCAUGGGCUCUUCACGAGUUGGCCUGGUAUUGCAGUAUCUCCAGGAAUUUGGCUCACUUUCC